CCUGAACGCUGGCGGCGUGGCUAAGACAUGCAAGUCGUACGGUGUAGCAAUACACAGUGGCGAACGGGUGAGUAAUGAAUCGCUAAUGUGCCCCGGACUCUGGGAUAGCCGACCGAAAGGGCGGGUAAUACCGGAUGAGACCACGAACAGGCAUCUGUUUGUGCUCAAAGGUCCGCCGGUCUGGGAGCAGGCGAUUUCGUAUCAGCUAGUUGGUAGGGUAACGGCCACCAAGGCGACGACGCGUAGCCGGACUGAGAGGUUGACCGGCCACAUCGGGACUGAGACACUGCCCGGACUCCUACGGGGGCUGCAGUAACGAACCUUCCGCAAUGCACGAAAGUGUGACGGAGCGACGCCGCGUGUGGGACGAAGUCCUUCGG
This 380-nucleotide ribosomal RNA is filed under the name uncultured bacterium. Its description in RNAcentral is "bacterial SSU rRNA". It matches the Rfam family "Bacterial small subunit ribosomal RNA", at positions 30 to 421 of the family's 1533-position model. The record is from RNAcentral.